CCUACGGGGUGCAGCAGUGAGGAAUAUUGGUCAAUGGACGCAAGUCUGAACCAGCCAUGCCGCGUGCAGGAAGACGGCUCUAUGAGUUGUAAACUUCUUUUGUCAAGGGACAAAAUCAGGCUCGAGAGCCUGACCGAGGGUACUUGAAGAAAAAGCAUCGGCUAACUCCGUGCCAGCAGCCGCGGUAAUACGGAGGAUGCGAGCGUUAUCCGGAUUUAUUGGGUUUAAAGGGUGCGUAGGCGGACUGUUAAGUCAGCGGUAAAAGCCCGGGGCUCAACCCCGGCGAGCCGUUGAAACUGGCUGUCUUGAGAUGUCGAGAGGUAUGCGGAAUGCGCAGUGUAGCGGUGAAAUGCUUAGAUAUUGCGCAGAACUCCGAUUGCGAAGGCAGCAUACCGGCGGCGAUCUGACGCUGAGGCACGAAAGCGUGGGUAUCGAACAGGAUUAGAUACCCGUGUAGUC
This 459-nucleotide ribosomal RNA is filed under the name uncultured bacterium. RNAcentral's name for it is "partial 16S ribosomal RNA". It matches the Rfam family "Bacterial small subunit ribosomal RNA", at positions 338 to 795 of the family's 1533-position model. The record is from RNAcentral.